Molecule: ribosomal RNA, 399 nt
Filed under: uncultured bacterium
Lineage: Bacteria
Description: bacterial SSU rRNA
Rfam family: Bacterial small subunit ribosomal RNA
Source: RNAcentral
UAUUGGACAAUGGGGGGAACCCUGAUCCAGCGACGCCGCGUGAGUGAAGAAGUAUCUCGGUAUGUAAAGCUCUAUCAGCAGGGAAGAAGAAAUGACGGUACCUGAGUAAGAAGCCCCGGCUAACUACGUGCCAGCAGCCGCGGUAAUACGUAGGGGGCAAGCGUUAUCCGGAAUUACUGGGUGUAAAGGGAGCGUAGACGGUAUAACAAGUUGGUUGUGAAACCCCUCGGCUAAACUGAGGAACUGCAACCAAAACUAUUAUUCUUGAGUGCAGGAGAGGAAAGUGGAAUUCCUAGUGUAGCGGUGAAAUGCGUAGAUAUUAGGAAGAACACCGGUGGCGAAGGCGACUUUCUGGACUGUAACUGACGUUGAGGCACGAAAGUGUGGGGAGCAAACAGG